AUCCUGGCUCAGACUGAACCGCUGGCCGGCAGGGCCUAACACAUGCAAGUCGAAAAAGUAGCACAGAGAGCUUGCUCUCGGGUGACGAGUGGCGGACGGGUGAGUAAUGUCUGGGAAACUGCCCGAUGGAGGGGGGAUAACUACUGGAAACGGUAGCUAAUACCGCAUAAUGUCGCAAGACCAAAGAGGGGGACCUUCGGGCCUCUUGCCAUCGGAUGUGCCCAGAUGGGAUUAGCUUGUAGGUGAGGUAACGGCUCACCUAGGCGACGAUCCCUAGCUGGUCUGCCCAGCGAUGACCAGCCACACUGGAACUGAGACACGGUCCAGACUCCUACGGGAGGCAGCAGUGGGAAUAUUGCACAAUGGCGCAAGCCUGAUGCAGCCAUGCCGCGUGUAUGAAGAAGGCUCGGGUUGUAAAGUACUUCA
This 426-nucleotide ribosomal RNA is filed under the name Klebsiella oxytoca. RNAcentral's name for it is "bacterial SSU rRNA". It matches the Rfam family "Bacterial small subunit ribosomal RNA", at positions 16 to 437 of the family's 1533-position model. The record is from RNAcentral. Lineage: Bacteria; Pseudomonadati; Pseudomonadota; Gammaproteobacteria; Enterobacterales; Enterobacteriaceae.